GGUAGCAAUACCGCUGACGACCGGCGCACGGGUGAGUAACACGUAUCCAACCUUCCCAUAACUCGGGGAUAGCCUUUCGAAAGAAAGAUUAAUACCCGAUAGUACUUUAUUAAGGCAUCUUAAGAAAGUUAAAGAUUUGUUGGUUAUGGAUGGGGAUGCGUUCCAUUAGAUAGUUGGUGAGGUAACGGCUCACCAAGUCUUCGAUGGAUAGGGGUUCUGAGAGGAAGGUCCCCCACAUUGGUACUGAGACACGGACCAAACUCCUACGGGAGGCAGCAGUGAGGAAUAUUGGUCAAUGGGCGAGAGCCUGAACCA
This 315-nucleotide ribosomal RNA is filed under the name uncultured Bacteroidales bacterium. RNAcentral describes it as "bacterial SSU rRNA". It matches the Rfam family "Bacterial small subunit ribosomal RNA", at positions 75 to 390 of the family's 1533-position model. The record is from RNAcentral. Lineage: Bacteria; Pseudomonadati; Bacteroidota; Bacteroidia; Bacteroidales.